Molecule: long non-coding RNA, 1136 nt
Filed under: Mus musculus (house mouse)
Lineage: Eukaryota; Metazoa; Chordata; Mammalia; Rodentia; Muridae
Description: long non-coding RNA chr2:145284299-145285435
Source: RNAcentral
ACCUGAGAGGAGUGGUCAGCUGGAAAAGAACCAGCAAGAGUCCCCUGCCUGCUCAUUUCUGCUACUUUUUGAUCUGCCAUUCACCUAGUCCUCAAAGGAUGAGGGGUCCAGGCUAGGCAUCUUGUGGCACAGAGAAGAGGAAGAGAUCAGGAGGGACAAAGGAAGAAUUUAUAACAUGUUCUGCCCCAUGUCUUUCUUUUUUCUUUAAAAAAGUAUAGAACAAGGCUUGCUUCCUUUGGCUUACAGAAAGAGAUUCUUUGUUUUAAAGAAAAAGGAAAAUAAUUUUGCAAAUAAUUAAGUACAGUUUAGAAAUUCAUUAAAACAAGAUUUUGUGCCAGAAAGAGAUAUGAUCUAGCCCUUACAGAGGAUUGGUGUUCCCCACACUUAUUUUGAUUUAUGCAUCUGUAUUUAUUUAAUUUUAUCUGAAUUCUCAUUAGUAUUUAACUACCAAGUCUUGGAUUGUUUUGCUAUAUUCUCUUUCACACAGUGGGAGGAGCAUUUUUAGAGCUCUCUGCUGUUGUGAUUGGCAGAAUGUUGGACUAAUGAGAAAACCAUGAGCUUGCCAGAUGUUAACAUGGUCUUUGUAGACUCUGUCCAUUAGUAGUACAUGGCAGGAUUUAGUUAUUGUUGGAACACCCAAUAGCUACAUCCAUUCUUUUUCCAAACAAGUCAUUGAGGAAAAGACCCAUGCUUAAGUCCCCCAGGUGAAGAUGGUUGUGACAAGCACAUAAGAUGACAUUGAUAUACACCACAUAGCUUGUUACCUAUGAACACUACAGUGGGAUAAAUAAGAAAAGAUCAGUGUUUUGCCAUUGUAAUGUUUUAAAUGAGAAAAAUCCUUCAUAAGUUCAUACAUUUGAAUACUUGGCCCUCAAGUGUUUAGGGAGGUUAUGGAACUCUUAGGACAUAGAAUCUUGCUAGAGAAAGUGCAUCAGUAGCAGAUUUGAUCAUUUACAGCCUUGUCCCACUUCCUGCUCACUUACUCUACUUCCUGUGUGUGGUUGAGAUGUGAGCUCACAGCUUCCAGGUCUUAUCACCAUGCCUGCUUGUUCCCAUACCUUCUCCACCAUUAUGGACUUUAGCACUCAGAAAUUCAUAGCCCAAAUAAACUUUCUUCUUGGUCAUGAUAUUUUAUC